Molecule: small RNA, 1612 nt
Filed under: Pongo abelii (Sumatran orangutan)
Lineage: Eukaryota; Metazoa; Chordata; Mammalia; Primates; Hominidae
Description: retained intron
Source: RNAcentral
AAGGGUCACGCAAGAUGGCGGCGCCCAGAGGCUGCUGAGGCGUGGAACGGAGGAUGGCGCUGGUGGCGUUGGUGGCUGGGGCUCGGCUGGGGCGGCGGCUGAGCGGGCCGGGGCCGGUGCGAGGGCACUGGACGGCGGCCGGGCGCUCGCGGAGCCGGCGCGAAGCGGCAGAGGCCGAGGCGGAGGUGCCCGUGUUCCAGUACGUGGGCGAGCGCGCUGCCCGCGCCGAUCGCGUCUUCGUGUGGGGCUUCAGCUUCUCGGGGGCGCUAGGCGUGCCCUCCUUUGUGGUGCCCAGCUCCGGGCCCGGGCCCCGCGCCGGCGCCCGGCCGCGCCGCAGGAUCCAGCCCGUGCCCUAUCGCCUGGAGCUGGACCAAAAGAUUUCGUCUGCUGCUUGCGGCUAUGGAUUCACACUGCUGUCCUCUAAGACCGCGGAUGUUACGAAAGUCUGGGGGAUGGGACUCAACAAAGAUUCUCAGCUUGGAUUUCACAGGAGCCGGAAAGAUAAAACAAGGGGCUACGAGUAUGUGUUGGAGCCCUCACCCGUCUCCCUGCCUCUGGACAGACCUCAGGAGACACGGGUGCUGCAGGUCUCCUGCGGCCGAGCUCACUCUCUUGUGUUGACUGACAGGGAAGGAGUCUUCAGCAUGGGAAACAAUUCUUACGGGCAAUGUGGAAGAAAGGUGGUCGAAAAUGAAAUUUACAGUGAAAGUCACAGAAUCCACAGAAUGCAGGACUUCGAUGGCCACGUGGUCCAGGUUGCCUGUGGUCAGGAUCAUAGUCUGUUCCUGACGGAUAAAGGAGAAGUCUAUUCUUGUGGAUGGGGCGCUGAUGGGCAAACAGGUCUGGGUCACUACAAUAUCACCAGCUCGCCCACCAAGCUAGGUGGAGACCUGGCGGGAGUGAACAUUAUCCAAGUUGCCACCUACGGUGAUUGCUGCCUGGCCGUGUCUGCCGACGGAGGACUUUUUGGUUGGGGAAACUCGGAGUACCUGCAGUUGGCCUCUGUCACUGACUCCACACAGGUGAAUGUGCCCCGCUGCUUACACUUCUCAGGAGUGGGGAAGGUGCGACAGGCUGCAUGCGGUGGCACGGGCUGUGCAGUGUUAAACGGAGAAGGACAUGUUUUUGUCUGGGGCUAUGGAAUUCUUGGGAAAGGUCCAAACCUAGUGGAAAGUGCCGUCCCUGAAAUGAUUCCACCCACUCUCUUUGGCUUGAGGGAGUUCAACCCAGAAAUCCAGGUUUCCCGCAUCCGAUGUGGACUCAGCCACUUUGCUGCACUGACCAGUAAGUUACCAAGCCCGACAGCCCCAGUGUGAGCCCGGCAGAGGUUCUCUCUCUCCAGUUCAACCCCAGACUGCGGGCAGCUCUCAGGUUCCACCCAUCCAACAGAACGGCGCCUUUGUACUGAUAACUCAAGCGAGGGCUAAGCCAGAAGUUGUUUGCCUCGAGGUUGUAUAAUGUGUCUUGUUUUCCCCCUCUGGAGUUUUAAUUUUGGUUCAUUUGGUUUGUGGGUAGGCUAACGUGAACAUGCAUUUUCUCAAGAGAGCACCCGUUGGUGGUAGGAAGGGGCACUGCUAGUACGUCGGGUGCCGGAGGAAACCAGCAGAGGCUU